This is a transfer RNA of Trichoderma reesei QM6a, 98 nucleotides long. It matches the Rfam family "tRNA". Rfam says of the family: Transfer RNA (tRNA) molecules are approximately 80 nucleotides in length. Their secondary structure includes four short double-helical elements and three loops (D, anti-codon, and T loops). Further hydrogen bonds mediate the characteristic L-shaped molecular structure. tRNAs have two regions of fundamental functional importance: the anti-codon, which is responsible for specific mRNA codon recognition, and the 3' end, to which the tRNAs corresponding amino acid is attached (by aminoacyl-tRNA synthetases). tRNAs cope with the degeneracy of the genetic code in two manners: having more than one tRNA (with a specific anti-codon) for a particular amino acid; and 'wobble' base-pairing, i.e. permitting non-standard base-pairing at the 3rd anti-codon position. The record is from Rfam. Lineage: Eukaryota; Fungi; Ascomycota; Sordariomycetes; Hypocreales; Hypocreaceae.
GACACUUUGGCCGAGUGGUUAAGGCGAUGCCCUGCUAUUUCUCGAGAUAACUUCAGGCAUUGUGUUCGCACGCGCAGGUUCGAAUCCUGCAGGUGUCG